CCUACGGGAGGCAGCAGUGAGGAAUAUUGGACAAUGGGCGGGAGCCUGAUCCAGCCAUGCCGCGUGCAGGAUGACGGCCCUAUGGGUUGUAAACUGCUUUUAUACGGGAAGAAACGCGCCCACGUGUGGGUGUCUGACGGUACCGUAAGAAUAAGGACCGGCUAACUCCGUGCCAGCAGCCGCGGUAAUACGGAGGGUCCGAGCGUUAUUCGGAAUCAUUGGGUUUAAAGGGUCCGUAGGCGGGCCUGUAAGUCAGGGGUGAAAGUUUGUGGCUCAACCAUAAAAUUGCCUUUGAUACUGCAGGUCUUGAGUCAUGGUGGGGUCGCCGGAACAUGUGGUGUAGCGGUGAAAUGCAUAGAUAUCACAUAGAACACCGAUCGCGAAGGCAGGUGGCCAACCAUGUACUGACGCUGAUGGACGAAAGCGUGGGUAGCGAACGGGAUUAGAUACCCCGGUAGUCCACGCCGUAAACGAUGGAUACUAGCUGUGGGGACUUCGGUCUCCGUGGCCAAGCGAAAGUGAUAAGUAUCCCACCUGGGGAGUACGUUCGCAAGAAUGAAACUCAAAGGAAUUGACGG
RNAcentral lists this ribosomal RNA (578 nucleotides) under uncultured bacterium. RNAcentral's name for it is "bacterial SSU rRNA". It matches the Rfam family "Bacterial small subunit ribosomal RNA", at positions 338 to 916 of the family's 1533-position model. The record is from RNAcentral.